RNAcentral lists this ribosomal RNA (458 nucleotides) under uncultured bacterium. RNAcentral's name for it is "partial 16S ribosomal RNA". It matches the Rfam family "Bacterial small subunit ribosomal RNA", at positions 338 to 795 of the family's 1533-position model. The record is from RNAcentral.
CCUACGGGCGGCAGCAGUAGGGAAUUUUGCGCAAUGGGCGAAAGCCUGACGCAGCAACGCCGCGUGAUCGAGACGCCCUUCGGGGUGUAAACCUCUUUUGUCAGGGAGCAACGCCGGCUACGUGUAGCCGGACUGAGAGUACCUGAAGAAAAAGCAUCGGCUAACUCCGUGCCAGCAGCCGCGGUAAUACGGAGGAUGCGAGCGUUAUCCGGAUUUAUUGGGUUUAAAGGGUGCGUAGGCGGAAUGCCAAGUCAGCGGUAAAAUCGCGGGGCUCAACCUCGCUCCGCCGUUGAAACUGGCGUUCUUGAGUGGGCGAGAAGUAUGCGGAAUGCGUGGUGUAGCGGUGAAAUGCAUAGAUAUCACGCAGAACUCCGAUUGCGAAGGCAGCAUACCGGCGCCCAACUGACGCUGAAGCACGAAAGCGUGGGUAUCGAACAGGAUUAGAUACCCUUGUAGUC